Non-coding RNA from Populus trichocarpa (black cottonwood), 124 nucleotides. The record is from Rfam. Lineage: Eukaryota; Viridiplantae; Streptophyta; Magnoliopsida; Malpighiales; Salicaceae.
UAAUUUGUAUGUGAUAGAUCUUUAUUUAGUUAUGACAGAUCCAUACUUAAUUGCUCAGAAUCACCUGUUAUCUCAAAUUUCACUCCAUGACAAAUUUUUGUUUUGAUUCAAUUAUUAGCAUAGA